Molecule: long non-coding RNA, 420 nt
Organism: Alligator mississippiensis (American alligator)
Lineage: Eukaryota; Metazoa; Chordata; Crocodylia; Alligatoridae
Exons: 3
Source: RefSeq, a predicted model, not a curated record
AGGAAACAUCAAGGACUUUGUGUCUUGAUGUAGAUGCAUUCUAAUUUGGUCUUUUUUUUCAGUCCUCUCAUACCUUACCUGUCAUCCAGGAGUUUGUAUCAGCCGAAGGAGAUCUGAAGCAGAGAAAGAAAGAAGGAAAAGAACUUCCACGUCUUAGCUCAGGAGUGGGAAAAAUAUGGCCCAUGGGCCAACGGGAUUUUGUCCAGCCUGCAGUGAGUCCCUUGAUCCCACCUGCACCAGGCACCAUCUGGCCAUGGCACAUCCUGCAGCCCAAUGGACACGCAGCAGGACUGGGGUGGCUCCUCAGUUGGACUGCCUUUCUAUUUUGAGCUAUUAUGCAAUCACCUCUAUAUACACAACAAAACACACACAAAUCAGGACAAAAUAUUUUUUUAAUAAAAUUAAAAUAUGCUAUUGUCA